RNAcentral lists this ribosomal RNA (1376 nucleotides) under Tipula maxima. Its description in RNAcentral is "bacterial LSU rRNA". It matches the Rfam family "Bacterial large subunit ribosomal RNA", at positions 1500 to 2907 of the family's 2925-position model. Lineage: Eukaryota; Metazoa; Arthropoda; Insecta; Diptera; Tipulidae. The record is from RNAcentral.
GGUUAAAGCCCGUAGAUAUUAGGUGUGGCAGGCAAAUCCACCAUACCUGUCGAAGGUGAUAGUACUGUGAUCUCUCGGGAAAGCAGAUAAUGAUCCUAACCAUACUUCCAAGAAAAGCCUCUAAUUGUUAAGUGCUAGCUAACCGUACCGCAAACCAACACAGGUAGUUGAGGAGAAUAUCCUAAGGUGUUCGAGUGAUUCGUGGCCAAGGAACUCGGCAAAAUAGCCCUGUAACUUCGGGAGAAAGGGUGCCUCGCUGAUCCUUUUUGGAGGGUCAGCAGGCCGCAGUGAAAAGGCCCAGGCGACUGUUUACCAAAAACACAGGACUUUGCAAAAUCGAAAGAUGAAGUAUAAGGUCUGAUACCUGCCCGGUGCUGGAAGGUUAAUAGGAGGAGUUAAGUUGUAAGGCUAAAGCUCCAAAUAGAAGCCCCAGUAAACGGCGGCCGUAACCUUGACGGUCCUAAGGUAGCGAAAUUCCUUGUCGGGUAAGUUCCGACCUGCACGAAUGGUGUAACGAUCUGGGCGCUGUCUCAGCCACGAGCUCGGUGAAAUUGGAGUGACGGUGAAGAUACCGUCUACCCGCAAUGGGACGAAAAGACCCCAUGAACCUUUACUAUAGCUUAACAUUGAUAAUAUGUAAAUAAUGUGUAGGAUAGGUGGGAGACUGCGUAAGCAGUCAUUGUUGAAAUACCACCCUUUAUCUAUGUGUUAUCUAAUCCUUUUGAAGAAGGAGACAGUGUUUGGUGGGUAGUUUGACUGGGACGGUCGCCUCCUAAAAAGUAACGGAGGCUUUCAAAGGUACCCUCAGCACGGAUGGUAAUCGUGCGUAGAGUGCAAUAGCAUAAGGGUGCUUGACUGUGAGACAAACAAGUCGAGCAGAGUCGAAAGACGGAUAUAGUGAUCCGGUGGUUCCGAAUGGAAGGGCCAUCGCUCAAAGGAUAAAAGGUACUCUGGGGAUAACAGGCUGAUCUCCCCCAAGAGCUCAUAUCGACGGGGAGGUUUGGCACCUCGAUGUCGGCUCGUCACAACCUGGAGCUGGAGCAGGUUCCAAGGGUUGGGCUGUUCGCCCAUUAAAGUGGCACGCGAGCUGGGUUCAGAACGUCGUGAGACAGUUCGGUUUCUAUCUAUUGCGGGCGUUGGAAUUUUGAGAGGAGCUAACUUUAGUACGAGAGGACCGGGUUGGGUAAACCUCUGGUGUAUCAGUUGUGACGUCAGUUGCAGUGCUGAGUAGCUACGUUUAUAAGAGAUAAGUGCUGAACGCAUCUAAGCACGAAACUCGCCUCAAGAUGAGACUUCAAUAAGGGUGGUCAAAGAUGAUGACCUUGAUAGGUUGCAGGUGUAAAGUUAGAAAUGGCAAAGCUGAGCAAUACUAAUUA